Molecule: transfer RNA, 73 nt
Filed under: Paramuricea clavata
Lineage: Eukaryota; Metazoa; Cnidaria; Anthozoa; Malacalcyonacea; Plexauridae
Rfam family: tRNA
About the family: Transfer RNA (tRNA) molecules are approximately 80 nucleotides in length. Their secondary structure includes four short double-helical elements and three loops (D, anti-codon, and T loops).
Source: Rfam by way of RNAcentral
GCCCGCGUAGCUCAGUUGGCAGAGCAUUGGGCUAGUAUUCCAAAGGUCGUAGGUUCGAUUCCCACUGUGGUCA